GACGAACGCUGGCGGCGUGCUUAACACAUGCAAGUCGAACGCUGAUCCGCUUUCGGGUGGUGAUGAGUGGCGAACGGGUGAGUAACACGUGGGUAAUCUGCCCUGCACUCUGGGAUAAGCCUUGGAAACGGGGUCUAAUACCGGAUAUCACAAUCUCUCGCAUGGGGGGUUGUUGAAAGUUCUGGCGGUGCAGGAUGAACCCGCGGCCUAUCAGCUUGUUGGUGGGGUAGNGGCCUACCAAGGCGACGACGGGUAGCCGGCCUGAGAGGGUGACCGGCCACACUGGGACUGAGACGCGGCCCAGACUCCUACGGGAGGCAGCAGUGGGGAAUAUUGCACAAUGGGCGGAAGCCUGACGCAGCGACGCCGCGUGAGGGAUGACGGCCU
This 387-nucleotide ribosomal RNA is filed under the name uncultured bacterium. RNAcentral's name for it is "bacterial SSU rRNA". It matches the Rfam family "Bacterial small subunit ribosomal RNA", at positions 28 to 417 of the family's 1533-position model. The record is from RNAcentral.